RNAcentral lists this ribosomal RNA (578 nucleotides) under uncultured Glomus. RNAcentral describes it as "LSU rRNA". It matches the Rfam family "Eukaryotic large subunit ribosomal RNA", at positions 204 to 637 of the family's 3401-position model. Lineage: Eukaryota; Fungi; Glomeromycota; Glomeromycetes; Glomerales; Glomeraceae. The record is from RNAcentral.
CAUGGAGGGUGAGAAUCCCGUCUGUGACCGGUUGCUCGUUCAUCUAUGAUACGCUUUCAAAGAGUCGAGUUGUUUGGGAUUGCAGCUCCAAAUGGGUGGUAAACAUCACCUAAGGCUAAAUAUUGGCGAGAGACCGAUAGCGAACAAGUACCGUGAGGGAAAGAUGAAAAGAACUUUGAAAAGAGAGUUAAAUAGUACGUGAAAUUGUUGAAAGGGAAACGAUUGAAGUCAGUCGUGCUGGCGCGUAAUCAGCCUACGAUUUGUCAAACAAGUAGUGUGGUGAGCCUCAAAACCGCCAUAUUAUUUGUCUGGCUAAUCGUCGGUGCACUUUCGUGUCGGUUGGUUAACAUCAAUUUCAAAUGUCAUAAAAAGGCUGGAGGGAUGUGGCUCCUUCGGGAGCGUUAUAACUUUUAGCGGAAUGUGGUGUUUGGGAUUGAGGAUUGCAACGAAUACCUUCAGGGCUGUUCCACCUGGUCUCUCUUUGGCAUCUUGGCGGCGACAGCUUGCUGACGUUGUUAAGAGUUGACAUUGAACAGGCUAGAGUGUGAGCAAAUUCGUUAAGGAUGUUGACGUAAUGG